CCAGACUCCUACGGGAGGCAGCAGUGGGGAAUAUUGCACAAUGGGGGAAACCCUGAUGCAGCAACGCCGCGUGAGUGAAGAAGUAUUUCGGUAUGUAAAGCUCUAUCAGCAGGGAAGAAGAUGACGGUACCUGAUUAAGAAGCCCCGGCUAACUACGUGCCAGCAGCCGCGGUAAUACGUAGGGGGCAAGCGUUAUCCGGAUUUACUGGGUGUAAAGGGAGCGUAGACGGCAUAGCAAGUCUGAAGUGAAAGCCCAAGGCUCAACCAUGGGACUGCUUUGGAAACUGUGCUGCUGGAGUGCAGGAGAGGCAAGUGGAAUUCCUAGUGUAGCGGUGAAAUGCGUAGAUAUUAGGAGGAACACCAGUGGCGAAGGCGGCUUGCUGGACUGUAACUGACGUUGAGGCUCGAAAGCGUGGGGAGCAAACAGGAUUAGAUACCCGGGUAAAC
RNAcentral lists this ribosomal RNA (447 nucleotides) under uncultured bacterium. Its description in RNAcentral is "bacterial SSU rRNA". It matches the Rfam family "Bacterial small subunit ribosomal RNA", at positions 331 to 795 of the family's 1533-position model. The record is from RNAcentral.